GACGAACGCUGGCGGCGUGCUUAACACAUGCAAGUCGAACGGAAAGGCCCUGCUUUUGUGGGGUGCUCGAGUGGCGAACGGGUGAGUAACACGUGAGUAACCUGCCCUUGACUUUGGGAUAACUUCAGGAAACUGGGGCUAAUACCGGAUAGGAGCUCCUGCUGCAUGGUGGGGGUUGGAAAGUUUCGGCGAUUGGGGAUGGACUCGCGGCUUAUCAGCUUGUUGGUUGGGUAGUGGCUUACCAAGGCUUUGACGGGUAGCCGGCCUGAGAGGGUGACCGGCCACAUUGGGACUGAGAUACGGCCCAGACUCCUACGGGAGGCAGCAGUGGGGAAUAUUGCACAAUGGGCGGAAGCCUGAUGCAGCAACGCCGCGUGCGGGAUGACGGCCUUCGGGUUGUAAACCGCUUUCGCCUGUGACGAAGCGUGAGUGACGGUAAUGGGUAAAGAAGCACCGGCUAACUACGUG
Molecule: ribosomal RNA, 468 nt
Filed under: uncultured bacterium
Lineage: Bacteria
Description: partial 16S ribosomal RNA
Rfam family: Bacterial small subunit ribosomal RNA
Source: RNAcentral